ACGAACGCUGGCGGCGUGCUUAACACAUGCAAGUCGAACGGUGAGUCAAAGCUUGCUUUGAUGAUCAGUGGCGAACGGGUGAGUAACACGUGAGCAACCUACCCUUGACUCCGGGAUAACAGUUGGAAACAGCUGCUAAUACCGGAUACGACCUCGACCGACAUCAGUUGAGGUGGAAAGUUCUGGCGGUCAAGGAUGGGCUCGCGGCCUAUCAGCUAGUUGGUGAGGUAACGGCUCACCAAGGCUUCGACGGGUAGCCGGCCUGAGAGGGCGACCGGCCACACUGGGACUGAGAUACGGCCCAGACUCCUACGGGAGGCAGCAGUGGGGAAUAUUGCACAAUGGGCGAAAGCCUGAUGCAGCAACGCCGCGUGCGGGAUGACGGCCUUCGGGUUGUAAACCGCUUUCAGCUCCGACGAAGCGCAAGUGACGGUAGGAGCAGAAGAAGGACCGGCCAACUACGU
This 464-nucleotide ribosomal RNA is filed under the name uncultured bacterium. Its description in RNAcentral is "bacterial SSU rRNA". It matches the Rfam family "Bacterial small subunit ribosomal RNA", at positions 29 to 506 of the family's 1533-position model. The record is from RNAcentral.